GCAUUGCUGACGAGUCCCACAACAGGACAAAACGGCUGUCCAGUAC
RNAcentral lists this non-coding RNA (46 nucleotides) under Schistosoma mattheei. The record is from RNAcentral. Lineage: Eukaryota; Metazoa; Platyhelminthes; Trematoda; Strigeidida; Schistosomatidae.